Molecule: ribosomal RNA, 497 nt
Filed under: uncultured bacterium
Lineage: Bacteria
Description: partial 16S ribosomal RNA
Rfam family: Bacterial small subunit ribosomal RNA
Source: RNAcentral
GAUGAACGCUGGCGGCGUGCCUAAUACAUGCAAGUCGAGCGAACGGACGAGAAGCUUGCUUCUCUGAUGUUAGCGGCGGUCGGGUGAGUAACACGUGGAUAACCUACCUAUAAGACUGGGAUAACUUCGGGAAACCGGAGCUAAUACCGGAUAAUAUUUUGAACCGCAUGGUUCAAAAGUGAAAGACGGUCUUGCUGUCACUUAUAGAUGGAUCCGCGCUGCAUUAGCUAGUUGGUAAGGUAACGGCUUACCAAGGCAACGAUGCAUAGCCGACCUGAGAGGGUGACCGGCCACACUGGAACUGAGACACGGUCCAGACUCCUACGGGAGGUAGCAGUAGGGAAUCUUCCGCAAUGGGCGAAAGCCUGACGGAGCAACGCCGCGUGAGUGAUGAAGGUCUUCGGAUCGUAAAACUCUGUUAUUAGGGAAGAACAUAUGUGUAAGUAACUGUGCACAUCUUGACGGUACCUAAUCAGAAGGCCACGGCUAACUACGUG